UACAGAGGUCUCAACCGUUGUUCGGAUUCAUUGGGCGUAAAGGGUGCGUAGGCGGUCGCGCAAGUCGGAUGUGAAAUCUUGGGGCUCAACCCCGAAACUGCAUUCGAUACUGCGUGGCUCGAGUACUGGAGAGGAGACUGGAAUUUACGGUGUAGCAGUGAAAUGCGUAGAUAUCGUAAGGAAGACCAGUGGCGAAGGCGAGUCUCUGGACAGUUACUGACGCUGAGGCACGAAGGCCAGGGGAGCAAACGGG
This 253-nucleotide ribosomal RNA is filed under the name uncultured bacterium. RNAcentral's name for it is "partial 16S ribosomal RNA". It matches the Rfam family "Bacterial small subunit ribosomal RNA", at positions 524 to 776 of the family's 1533-position model. The record is from RNAcentral. RNAcentral also lists the same sequence under 1 other name.